AAAGGAGUAACGUAACGAGAAAUGUCUGUGC
This 31-nucleotide non-coding RNA is filed under the name Homo sapiens (human). The record is from RNAcentral. Lineage: Eukaryota; Metazoa; Chordata; Mammalia; Primates; Hominidae.